AACUGCGAAUGGCUCAUUAAAUCAGUUAUCGUUUAUUUGAUAGUACCUUACUACUUGGAUAACCGUGGUAAUUCUAGAGCUAAUACAUGCUAAAAACCCCAACUUCGGGAGGGGUGUAUUUAUUAGAUAAAAAACCAAUGCCCUUCGGGGCUCCUUGGUGAUUCAUGAUAACUUCUCAGAUCGCAUGGCUUUACGCCGGCGACGGUUCAUUCAAAUUUCUGCCCUAUCAACUUUCGAUGGUAAGGUAUUGGCUUACCAUGGUUUCAACGGGUAACGGGGAAUUAGGGUUCGAUUCCGGAGAGGGAGCCUGAGAAACGGCUACCACAUCCAAGGAAGGCAGCAGGCGCGCAAAUUACCCAAUUCCGAUACGGAGAGGUAGUGACAAUAAAUACUGAUACAGGGCUCUUUUGGGUCUUGUAAUUGGAAUGAGUACAAUUUAAACCUCUUAACGAGGAACAAUUGGAGGGCAAGUCUGGUGCCAGCAGCCGCGGUAAUUCCAGCUCCAAUAGCGUAUAUUAAAGUUGUUGCAGUUAAAAAGCUCGUAGUUGAACCUUUGGCCUGGCUGGCAGGUCCGCCUCACCGCGUGCACUUGUCCGGCCGGGCCUUUUCUUCUGGAGAACCGCAUGCCCUUCGCUGGGUGUGUUGGGGACCAGGACUUUUACUUUGAAAAAAUUAGAGUGUUCAAAGCAGGCCUUUGCUCGAAUACGUUAGCAUGGAAUAAUAGAAUAGGACGUGCGGUCCUAUUUUGUUGGUUUCUAGGACCGCCGUAAUGAUUAAUAGGGACAGUCNGGGGGCAUCAGUAUUCAAUUGUCAGAGGUGAAAUUCUUGGAUUUAUUGAAGACUAACUACUGCGAAAGCAUUUGCCAAGGAUGUUUUNCAUUAAUCAGUGAACGAAAGUUAGGGGAUCGAAGACGAUCAGAUACCGUCGUAGUCUUAACCAUAAACUAUGCCGACUAGGGAUCGGGCGGUGUUUCUAUUGUGACCCGCUCGGCACCUUACGAGAAAUCAAAGUGUUGGUUC
RNAcentral lists this ribosomal RNA (1020 nucleotides) under Paraphaeosphaeria michotii. RNAcentral's name for it is "SSU rRNA". It matches the Rfam family "Eukaryotic small subunit ribosomal RNA", at positions 85 to 1114 of the family's 1831-position model. Lineage: Eukaryota; Fungi; Ascomycota; Dothideomycetes; Pleosporales; Didymosphaeriaceae. The record is from RNAcentral.